This 842-nucleotide ribosomal RNA is filed under the name Echinocephalus overstreeti. RNAcentral describes it as "SSU rRNA". It matches the Rfam family "Eukaryotic small subunit ribosomal RNA", at positions 135 to 982 of the family's 1831-position model. Lineage: Eukaryota; Metazoa; Nematoda; Chromadorea; Rhabditida; Gnathostomatidae. The record is from RNAcentral.
CUACUCGGAUAACUGUGGUAAUUCUAGAGCUAAUACGUGUUAGAAUGCUCCGAUACUUUUGACGAGCGCAUUUAUUGGACCAAAAUCAACGGAGCUACGGCUCGUCAAUUGAUAACUCUGAAUAACUAUUGCCGAUCGCAUGGUCUAGUACCAGCGACAUGUCUAUCGAGUGUCUGCCUUAUCAACUGUCGAUGGUAGUUUAUAUGACUACCAUGGUUGUAACGGGUAACGGAGAAUAAGGGUUCGACUCCGGAGAGGAAGCCUGAGAAAUGGCUGCCACAUCCAAGGAAGGCAGCAGGCGCGCAAAUUACCCACUCUCAGUACGAGGAGGUAGUGACGAAAAAUAACGGGACCGUUCUCUAUGAGGCCGGUCAUCGGAAUGGGCACAGUCUAAAUCCCUUAACGAGGAUCUAUGAGAGGGCAAGUCUGGUGCCAGCAGCCGCGGUAAUUCCAGCUCUCAAAGUGUAUAUCGUCAUUGCUGCGGUUAAAAAGCUCGUAGUUGGAUCUGCGCCGUAGAACUUGGUCCGCUCACUGAGUGUGAACUGAGCUUCUCGGCUAUUGUUGUUGGUUUUCCCUUUGUUGCCUUGAUCGGUUGCUGAGGGUGGCUAGCGAAUUUACCUUGAAAAAAUUAGAGUGCUUCAAACAGGCUUUCGCCUGCAUAUCUGUGCGUGGAAUAAUGGAACAGGAUUUCGGUCCUAUUUUGUUGGUUUUCUGAACCGAAAUAAUGGUUAAGAGGGACAGACGGGGGCAUUCGUAUCGCUGCGCGAGAGGUGAAAUUCUUGGACCGUAGCGAGACGUCCAACUGCGAAAGCAUUUGCCAAGAAUGUCUUCAUUAAUCAAGA